RNAcentral lists this unclassified non-coding RNA (240 nucleotides) under soil metagenome. Its description in RNAcentral is "partial contains 5.8S ribosomal RNA, internal transcribed spacer 2, and large subunit ribosomal RNA". The record is from RNAcentral.
AACCAUUCUCACCUGCGGCUAGACCUGCGGAAGGAUCAUUAUAGAAUUGUUCGAAUCCAUACGGGCAUUUUCUAAAAAUCCGUAUCCACACCGGUAGGGUUUUUUUUUCUGAAAAAAACCUUUACCGUAGGGUUCUUCAUUCACUUUUCGGAGUGGGUGUGGUUCCUGUCUGACCCAUGCCUAUAAUUUUAUUUUGUCUGAACUUGUUUAUAAAUAAAUAAUAAACAAAAACAACUUUCA